UACGGAGGGAGCUAGCGUUGUUCGGAAUUACUGGGCGUAAAGAGCGCGCAGGCGGUCGUUCAAGUCGAGUGUGAAAGCCCCCGGCUCAACUGGGGAGGGUCACUCGAUACUGAUCGACUCGAAGGCAGGAGAGGGAAGUGGAAUUCCCGGUGUAGUGGUGAAAUGCGUAGAUAUCGGGAGGAACACCAGUGGCGAAGGCGACUUCCUGGCCUGUUCUUGACGCUGAGGCGCGAAAGCUAGGGGAGCAAACGGG
RNAcentral lists this ribosomal RNA (253 nucleotides) under uncultured bacterium. RNAcentral describes it as "partial 16S ribosomal RNA". It matches the Rfam family "Bacterial small subunit ribosomal RNA", at positions 524 to 776 of the family's 1533-position model. The record is from RNAcentral.